Molecule: ribosomal RNA, 500 nt
Filed under: uncultured bacterium
Lineage: Bacteria
Description: partial 16S ribosomal RNA
Rfam family: Bacterial small subunit ribosomal RNA
Source: RNAcentral
AUUGAACGCUGGCGGAAUGCUUUACACAUGCAAGUCGAACGGCAGCACGGACUUCGGUCUGGUGGCGAGUGGCGAACGGGUGAGUAAUGUAUCGGAACGUGCCCAGUCGUGGGGGAUAACGUAGUGAAAAUUACGCUAAUACCGCAUACGAUCUAUGGAUGAAAGCGGGGGAUCGCAAGACCUCGCGCGAUUGGAGCGGCCGAUAGCAGAUUAGGUAGUUGGUGGGGUAAAGGCCCACCAAGCCAACGAACUGUAGCCGGUCUGAGAGGACGCCCAGCAAAACUGGAACGGAGACACGGUCCAGACUCCUACGGGAGGCAGGAGUGGGGAAUUUUGGACAAUGGGCGAAAGCCUGAUCCAGCCAUUCCGCGUGCAGGAUGAAGGCCCUCGGGUUGUAAACUGCUUUUGGACAGAACGAAAAGGUUUCUACUAAUACUAGGAGCUCAUGACGGUACUGUAAGAAUAAGCACCGGCUAACUACGUGCCAGCCGCCGCAGUAA